This is a long non-coding RNA of Anastrepha ludens (Mexican fruit fly), 567 nucleotides long. RefSeq lists it as uncharacterized. Lineage: Eukaryota; Metazoa; Arthropoda; Insecta; Diptera; Tephritidae. The record is from RefSeq and is a predicted model, not a curated record. The transcript has 3 exons.
AGCAGAAGCAACCGCAACAAUAAAGAACAUUGAUUGCGGCAGCGGAAUCGGCGCUGGCGUUGGCGUUGGCGCGCUGGGAUUGUUAAUAGUGGCAGGCAACAACACAACAGGUGUUCUUAAUCUGACCAGUGGGAUUUUUGACAUGAUUGACAAUGCUUAGAUUUGUCCUUUUAUGAAGCUUACUUUCGUAAAAUUUAACUUAACUAAUGGUUUUAAACGCUAUAUCGAUUUGUUGGACGCCGUUAUUCGUAGACAAAAAAACAAAUAAAUCUGUUCGCAAAGUUCAUACAGCGAAGUAUUGAAGAAGACGCCGCAAUGUCGAAUCGGCAUCGUUCUCUACUUGUUGGCCUUUGUCCUUCGAUUAUGUGGAAAAAUUUACGUAAGGCGUUGACUUAUGUGCCUAAAAAAUACAGCUCGUGCAAGAAUUAAAGCCAAAUGAACAUCGUUUGCUUCGCAUUUUUGCAGAUUGGGCUCAUUUGGAUUUAUUUUUCAGACUAUUUAUAUGUUUACAUGCCAUGAUAACAUACGCCGGAUAUCAUAUUAAAAAAAUAAAUUGCCAUGAAACUA